UUUUUCUCUGGACUCUAAGCUGGUUGAUGCCACCAGGCCUUGGGAAAAAGCCUGCCUUCUGAUAGGAUUGCUAUUGAGUAGCAAAAAUUCUUGGAUUCUGAUAACAUCUUUCAUGCAGAAACUCAAAGCAUCUCCCAAAUUAUAAGCCCAUUCUUUUACACUGUUCUACACUCUCACACUCUAGGAACAACUCAUUUCAAUCUUGGGACAUUGACCAGAAUUCAGGGAAACUAGCAUGAUCCUUCCAGUCUGACGUUUCAUUCCAUCUACUGUCCAAAGCUGUGUCUACAAGGCAUCACCUAUGAGACAAUAAAACAAACCCUCUGAAAUCAGGAAAUUUGCCAGAAGAUGGCGAGCUGGGAAGAAAUAAAACCAGGAUUUGAGCCAGGAGUGGAACAUGGGGUUUUGUCUAGUUGCACAUUUCAACUCCAAUCAGCUAGCAGAAUCACCUUCUUCCAGUCUGGCCAUGCUUGAGAGUUUCUGUCCAACAUUGAGGAUUUAGCUGACAUAGAAAGCAUGGAAAUGAGUUCAUCCCUUUCAGCCUGGAUUCACUGCACCACAGGGACAGCUCUUCAGUUACCCAUUACAGAGGUUCAAAUGAUACUCCAACAGCUGGUGCAAUGAAGAAAGUAAAAUCAGGAAAUGCAAAGUUGAAUGGGCUACCACUUUACACAAUUUCUGACUUUGUUUUAUAGAUUAUUUUAUUACCAUCUAUACUUGUUUCGAGGCAUUGGAAAACUAAGUACUAUGUUACAUAACCAUUUACAUGUGAUUUGACGAUAAAGAUGGAGCUGUAAAAUAAAUAUUGCAGUGUUUUGUUUUUAAU
RNAcentral lists this long non-coding RNA (826 nucleotides) under Homo sapiens (human). RNAcentral's name for it is "HSALNT0368911". The record is from RNAcentral. Lineage: Eukaryota; Metazoa; Chordata; Mammalia; Primates; Hominidae.